Schistosoma mattheei is the source of this 48-nucleotide non-coding RNA. Lineage: Eukaryota; Metazoa; Platyhelminthes; Trematoda; Strigeidida; Schistosomatidae. The record is from Rfam.
AUUCAUCUGAAGAGUCCUAAAUAGGACGAAAAGUGCAUCAAACUAGAU